RNAcentral lists this long non-coding RNA (1779 nucleotides) under Homo sapiens (human). RNAcentral describes it as "HSALNT0279014". Lineage: Eukaryota; Metazoa; Chordata; Mammalia; Primates; Hominidae. The record is from RNAcentral.
UUUGUUAUGAAGUUAUAUUGCGUGAUGCUGAGGUUUGGAGCAUGAGUGAAUCUGUUACCCAGGAGAACAGCCAUGUGGAGAGAGACCACAAAAGAAGCCACGUGAGGAUGGAGGCAGAGACUGGAGCCACACAGCCACAAGCCAGGAGUGCCACAGAUGGCCAGACUCUGCCAGGAGGGCUCCUCCACACAGGAUUCCCAGGGAGCACAGCCCUCCUGCCCCUGGAGCCUGGACUUCUGGCCUCCAGGACUUUAAGACAGUAACUUUCUGUUGCUUGAAGCCACCAGCUGUGGUUCUUCCUUACAGUGGCCAUUUUCCAAGGAGUGGCUCCUGGUGUGAGGACACAGCAGCCACUGAAGGGGCCAACGCCGGCUUGCAGUGGCCGUCCAAAGGACUGGACAUUUCACCGCUGAAUCCAGAAGGGGGCCUGCCUGGCCUCGCCCUCUCGUGAAGGGCCACAGGCUGUUUGGGAAGGAACCCAAGGGUGCCCAGCGGGAAAGGCAAACUAGGAUGGGCUUCCAGGCACACUCUCCCCUAGGCCACCUCGGCCGGAGCCUCCAAGGGUGGGGCCCAGGGCCUCCAGCUGCUCUCAGGACCACCCACCCCCCAUGACAGAGCAGAAACCCACGGAUACCCGUUCCUCAAAAACUGUCCCCUGGCCCAUCCAGGAGGAACCAUCAGCUUACUGCGAACAUCGUGCUUCAAAAAAAGCCCUUAAACAAUAGAACCUUUUUAUUUUUUAACUUUUUAACUCAGCAGCCACUAUGUGAUAUUGUACACUGUCACAAUGUACAAUAGCUCCCCCUUAUCCGUGGGGGGCACAUCCCCAGACCCCCAGCAGAUGCCUGAAAUCUCAGACAGCACCGCACCUGACAGCCACCCAUGGGAACAUUGUUCACGUCUUCCAGCCACAGAUUUCCUGUCUUUCCCAUUUUAACUGAGUCCGUAUCAUGCUCUGUGGCUGUAACUUUUGCAUUUUGAGGUGUGACAGCAAAACUAGCAUGAAUUUCUUUUUCUUUCUUCACAAUUUCUUUAAUAGAAGAUUCCCUCUGACCCUAGUUCUUAGCAGCCUCAGCAAACAAUUAUUUUAUAUCCUUAUAAAGUGUAGAGCUUUCACCUUUUCAUUUAAGGAAGCACUUUACGGCUUCUCUUUGGUGUACCUGAAUUGUUGGUAUCACUACUCUAGUACUUUGGGGCCAUGGUUAAGUGAAAUAAGGGUUCCUUGAACAUAAGCACUCAGAAGCCACAAGAGUGGAUCUGAUAACCCAGAUGGCCACCAAGUGAUGAGAGGGUGGGAGCGCCCACAGCCUGGAGAUGCUGGACGAAGGGAGGAUUCUCGUCCAGGCAAGAUGGGGCAGACAGCAUGAAACUUAAGCAUGCAAUUCAGAAUGGUCUGCAAUUUAAAACUUAUGCAUUGUUUAUUGCUGGAAUUUUCCAUUUGAUAUUUUUGGGUCUUGGUUGACUAUGGGUAACUGAAACCAUGGAAAGAAAAACAAAAGAGAAGGGAGAACAAUUGUAUUGGAAAUACGAUGGUGGAUGAAACAGACAGCAUCUCUCCUCCAAUGCUGUGAAGGGGGUUUGUAUCUGAGACUCAUGCCCAUCCCUUUCCUGCCAUCUCCGCGGGGCUCUGAGAGGCUCCCCACAUCACAAUUUAGAAACUAUUGCUCAAUUCAAGGGAAGGCCCCACCUGGACCCCUCCUCAGGCUACUGCAGUCUGAUGGCAGCCCCGAGUCCCCUCCUCUCAUCCCAAACUGCUGGCCUGCGGGUCCUCACUCUGGC